RNAcentral lists this microRNA precursor (85 nucleotides) under Ovis aries (sheep). RNAcentral describes it as "miRNA (ENSOARG00000023887.1)". The record is from RNAcentral. Lineage: Eukaryota; Metazoa; Chordata; Mammalia; Artiodactyla; Bovidae.
AUAUUUAUAUAUGUAGACACACAUGCAUACACACACAUAUAAGCACAAAUAUGUGUAUGUAUAUGUGUGUGUAUGUAUACGUCUA